This 253-nucleotide ribosomal RNA is filed under the name uncultured bacterium. RNAcentral describes it as "partial 16S ribosomal RNA". It matches the Rfam family "Bacterial small subunit ribosomal RNA", at positions 524 to 776 of the family's 1533-position model. The record is from RNAcentral.
UACGGAGGGUGCUAGCGUUGUUCGGAAUCACUGGGCGUAAAGGGCGUGUAGGCGGUCUGUUAAGUCUGAUGUGAAAUCCCCUCGCUUAACGAGGGAACUGCGUCGGAUACUGGCAGACUCGAGUACCGGAGAGGAAGGUGGAAUUCCCGGUGUAGCGGUGAAAUGCGCAGAUAUCGGGAGGAACACCAGUAGCGAAGGCGGCUCGCUGGGCCAUUCCUGACGCUGAGACGCGAAAGCUAGGGGAGCGAACAGG